Gallus gallus (chicken) is the source of this 2426-nucleotide long non-coding RNA. The record is from Ensembl. Lineage: Eukaryota; Metazoa; Chordata; Aves; Galliformes; Phasianidae.
GUAAGGGCCUGAGCCAGGUAUCCAAAAGCAGAUGCAAUUCUCUGGCCCCUUCUCCUCAAAUACAAAGGAAUGCUCAUUUGCUUGAUCUACUGAUUGCAGUUUUGCUAUCACGGUACUUGUCUGCUGCUAGAGCUCAUCAUCACAGGACAAUAACCGUGGCUCUACAGGAAAGGCAGAAGAUGGUAGCAGAGGGGCAGUCUGACAGAAUGGCGUCUGACAUGGAAGUGCGUAUUCAGCAAAGUUACAUGUACCUGAGCGCCAAGACCAUGUGUUAGUGUGAUUCUUCCUAAAGGGAGAUGAGGAGCACUGUCAGAAAGACCACAGCACCUGCAGCAGAGUCACUGUGGAAGUGGAGCACAAAGCAGUCACUUUGGUUUCUUCAUCAGCAUUUUGAAAUGCCUGAUUGAACUGAAGAGAUAUGGGACACUGUCUUUUAUCUGCACGCUAACAGACACGUCUGUGCUGUGCAGGAGAAUUAAUUGCUCUCCAGCCUGAAAUACAUAACUCCAAGGUGACUUUACCAAACUGACAGCCUGAGGCACUGUGUCUGAGAUGACUGGAAAGGAAAGAGGGGCAACCCCAGCCACCAUAGUCAGAGUCUGUCUGUCAAGCACACAGAGUAUCCCUGCAAACCUGCCUACCAUCUCAAGGGGAAGCUUUGUGCUGUGAAGUGAGCCCCAGCAACAGUGCAGUAAGCAGGCUCUGAGAGUUCUUCAAUUCUAUCUCUGGCACUGAGGAGCUAAUUCUUUGCAUUUCCUCAAACAGUCUUAGUCAUUUCAGUCAGCAAAGACCCAUUGGAGGCUUACGUUCUAUUACUGCCUCCUUCCAGAUGUCAGCAGUCGAUGCAGGAGCUUGGUGGCACAGUGUUUCUCCGGUAUGACUCUGUUUAGCUGAGUGAGAGGAAACAUCAUGUGGUGCCUUUGACACUGUCAGAUCUGUUACCUUUAAAUCUUUAGUGAAUCAGCAGACUAAUGUAGUGAACUAAAGCAAUUUAUGUAGAAUGGGAGCAAUCUAAGGUACAAAAUGGCAGUUGGGAGUUUAACUUAAUGGGAAUUAAUGGUUGUUGCUGGAGAUCUUAAUUCUUAUUAGACCAAUUUCACCCUGUUUCCACUGCUGGUGCUUUUAAGCUAGGGAGAAAAAAAAAGUUUAAUGGAAAUUCUAGAUCUUACUGAUUAGUGCAGUGCUGAGAAAUAAGAAGUCUUAAACUUUUGUGCAGUGUGGAUCACUUUGUUAGAGAAACUGCCUUGCUGGCCACCAUCAUUUCUCAUUUGUAAUAAAUAGGCAACUUUUUCAGCUGUUCAUGUUUGUAAGGUCAGCUCAAUCUAUCCUUUGGGACAUCUCCAGGAAAGAACAGUAACUGCCUAUCUGAAAAAAUAGCAUCAAGAAAGUACCAGAUACUCAUGUAUGUUUUGUAUCCCUUUUAUGAAUAUGUAAUAUUAAAACCCAGGAGAAGCUAAUUCCAUGAGAGGAAUAAUUUUUUCCUUGUCCUCUAGGAAACCAUUUUGUGAAUUUUUUGUUGAACUUUGUGUGAACUUUUUGUGAAUUUUUUUGUUGAAUUUUGUCUUUUCUUAGGAAGGUAGAUGUCCACCAGGGCAGGAUGGGCAAACUUGCUCAUGUCCAUGAUGAUCUUAAGGGCAUCUGAUCUGAAGAGUACAUUCAUGCUGUAGUCCCUUCAACUGCCUCUGUCCAUCCCUGGGCAUGUGUUUGAUGUUGUUUUUGCUGUUCAACAAAGUUUGAUUCAUCUCCUUGUUGACUUCUUUAUCUUCUUCAAAUGAUGACCUACUUUUCCAUCUUUUUUUGUUUCCUCUGUCCUAUCAUAAUUUUAUCUGACUCCUUCUCUGCUUUAUAGACCUCCGUAAAUUGAAAUAGUUUAACUCUAUUAUAAAAUUAUUUCUGAGUUAGAUGUCUAAUAUUUUCCGUAUCAAGUUAUUUUUAACUUUUCUGCAAGCCUCUGAAAAUUAAUUUGAUAUUUCCCUUGUUUAAAUCAUAGUAAAAAAUAGAUACUUGUUUGAUAAAUUUGGUAAACCUUUUAAAUUUACUAUGGUAUUGUUGCUUUGUUGAUGCUUCAUUCCACCACUAAAAACAGGAAAAUGAGUGCUGCUGCUGAUUCCAAAGAGCAUGCUUUAAAGAACAUCCACUAAUUUUUCUUACAAAUAAAUAUUUGAUAUUACAAAUACUUAAUAUUUAAUAUUCCAGUAAUUUUUUCACUUUGCUUUCUAGUACUACUUACUCAGCUUUAUUAACAAGAGUAAAUUUUCCUUCUAACCAAGCUGUUCAUCACAAUACUCAUUUUAUCAACGCUACAAACUAAACCAUACUGGAAAUCCAGCCAAAACUUAACAGCUUUUUUAUUCUCAGAGCACUGUGCCAUUUUCCUGUAAGUUUUAUUAUUCUAUCCUACCAUUCAUCUCCUACUGUGAGAGAAC